This 455-nucleotide long non-coding RNA is filed under the name Vigna radiata. RNAcentral's name for it is "long non-coding RNA (VRAD_LNC012623)". Lineage: Eukaryota; Viridiplantae; Streptophyta; Magnoliopsida; Fabales; Fabaceae. The record is from RNAcentral.
AGUACAAUAAAAAGAUUUCCAAAACUCUUUCCUUAUCUAAAGUCUUAAAUAGAUUCUCUAAUCCAUUUACAUUGUUUUGUAGGAUACAAAUAAAAGUAGGAAACUAUGCCUACACAUCCUAGGAAGAUUGCCAAUCAAGGAAGCACAAAGGAAGCAAGUAGGAGUGCAUUGUGCAGCCAACCAUGUAGCUGAUUUGAAGCAUGUUUUCUACAAUCCAGCUGCCACGUUUUCCACAUUUUCCAUGUGCAAAACAGCCAACCAUGGCUUCCCCUUGUUGCAGCACAUUCUCCACGCUUUCCACGUGAUAAAUGAGUUUCUCAUGGGAAUUGAAACACACGUGGAUCAAAGCUUAUGCUGCACAUGCUUUGUAAAUCUUAGUAGCUUCCCUAGCAAGAUUCAUAGCCUCUCUUAUUCUAUAAAAGAGAGCUUCCUCAUGUGUAAAUAUUAACUUGAAU